This 237-nucleotide ribosomal RNA is filed under the name Klebsiella pneumoniae. Its description in RNAcentral is "partial 23S ribosomal RNA". It matches the Rfam family "Bacterial large subunit ribosomal RNA", at positions 2706 to 2925 of the family's 2925-position model. The record is from RNAcentral. Lineage: Bacteria; Pseudomonadati; Pseudomonadota; Gammaproteobacteria; Enterobacterales; Enterobacteriaceae.
UCACUGGUGUUCGGGUUGUCAUGCCAAUGGCACUGCCCGGUAGCUAAAUGCGGAAGAGAUAAGUGCUGAAAGCAUCUAAGCACGAAACUUGCCCCGAGAUGAGUUCUCCCUGAGACUUUAAGUCUCCUGAAGGAACGUUAAAGACGAUGACGUUGAUAGGCCGGGUGUGUAAGCGCAGCGAUGCGUUGAGCUAACCGGUACUAAUGAACCGUGAGGCUUAACCUUACAACGCCGAAG